Molecule: RNA transcript, 4719 nt
Organism: Glycine soja
Lineage: Eukaryota; Viridiplantae; Streptophyta; Magnoliopsida; Fabales; Fabaceae
Gene name: casein kinase 1-like protein 3
Exons: 17
Source: RefSeq, a predicted model, not a curated record
CAACUCGAUGAAAGGACAGAAAUACCCCCACCUCCUCCGCUAUUCAAUUUGCCUAUAAUACCCUUCACCUCUUUCUCUCCCUCUGGUGUGCUGUGUGGCUUUGAUUUCGGUUCCGAAGGGACAACCAACGACCACCCUCUCUUCUGACUCACUUCUCGAACCUUCCAAACAUGGAACGCAUCGUUGGCGGCAAGUACAAGCUCGGCCGCAAGAUCGGAAGUGGAUCCUUCGGCGAAAUCUACCUCGCGACGCAUAUUGAUACCUUCGAGAUCGUCGCCGUCAAGAUCGAGAAUAGUAAAACAAAACAUCCACAACUGCUUUACGAGGCAAAGCUAUACAAUAUUCUUCAAGGAGGAAGUGGCAUUCCGAACAUAAAAUGGUCUGGCAUAGACGGGGAGGAUAAUGUGCUUGUUAUUGAUUUGCUUGGGCCGAGUCUUGAGGAUCUCUUUGUGUAUUGUGGAAGGAAGUUUUCAUUGAAGACAGUAUUAAUGUUGGCUGAUCAAAUGAUCACUAGAAUAGAAUAUGUGCAUUCUAAAGGAUUUUUACACAGGGAUAUUAAACCUGAUAACUUUCUCAUGGGACUUGGUCGAAAGGCCAACCAGGUUUACAUAAUUGAUUUUGGGCUUGCAAAACGAUAUCGGGAUUCCACUACCAAUCGCCACAUCCCUUACAGGGAGAACAAAAACUUAACGGGUACUGCUCGAUAUGCAAGUUGCAAUACUCAUCUUGGGAUUGAGCAAAGUCGCCGGGAUGAUUUGGAAUCACUAGGAUAUGUACUUCUGUACUUCCUAAGAGGAAGCCUUCCUUGGCAAGGUCUAAAGGCGGCUACAAAGAAACAGAAGUAUGAUAAAAUAUGCCAGAAGAAAUUAUCAACUCCUAUUGAGGUACUAUGCAAAUCUCAUCCUGUAGAGUUUGCUUCGUACUUCCAUUACUGCCACUCUUUGACAUUUGAUCAACGACCUGAUUAUGGUUUCUUGAAGCGCCUAUUUCGGGACCUAUUUGCUCGUGAUGGUUAUGAUUUUGAUUACGUUUUUGAUUGGACCAUUUUGAAGUACCAGCAAUCUCAAAAGAAUGUAAUGCUCCCUCCAUUAUCUCCAGUUCCAGGAGCAAGUAACAGUCGUGCAAUUCCAAUGGAUAUUGACAAUCAUCAAGGUCUUAAUUCAUAUUCAGGGCAUGUUAAAGAGCGUAUUAGAGCUGGUGAUGCUACUGGUUCUGGUGUUAAAAUUCAGUUUAAAUCACCAGUGGGUAAAAAUUUGAGUUAUGAGAAACCACUUGACAAAAAUAUUUUUGGAGAAGCAAAUAUUCCCUCUACUUCAUUUUCUCCUGCUAGUACUUCACAAAGGAACUCCUUGAAGCAAUCCUUGUCUGCUGAAGCUUCCAACCCUGGACAUGCACAAGGCAGUAAAAUUGGCCCUUCAAGUAGCUUGAUGUCAUCUCUGCAGCACAUGUCUUCUGCUAAAUGAUUGCAAAAUAUGCUAUGAAGCUUUGAAGAAGAUUCUGUGCAUUGUUUCCCCUAUUAUUUGGUCAAGAAUAUUCAAGUCAUUAUUAAUUCAUGGAGACUGCAAAUGUGCCAGAAAGUUGACAAAUUGCAUAGCUCCUAUUUUGAGGCCAUUUAGUGUUGCUUCUUUCCUGAGGUGACUACAAAUGCUUGUGCGGUUAUUGAAAGUGUAAGCUAUACUGAAGCAAACAUUAUGGCUGAAAGAUCACUGAAAUUAUGGUCUCUUAUGAGUUAACAAAGGUAGUUCUUGGUGCCAUAUGUUUUAAACUUAUAUGAUUAUGAGGAUGUUGUCCUUUGAAGAAUGUCGUUACCUAAUUAUCAAGAUUUUUGCCUCAUCAUUUGGAACUUCUCAUUUUCUUUUAACUUUUAAGUUGUUGUUGAAAGAAGGGAGAAAAACUACAAUAUCUUGCCACUAUCAAAAUUUGUAAUUUUAUAUAAUUAACAGCUGUUAAAAGAUUGGUGUAGCAUAGUUGGAAUAGUCAGAUAUAAUUAACAGUAGUUGGAAUAAUCAGAUAUUUCUUGCUUCAGAUAGUCUUUCAUUUUUGUCAAUAUUUUUAUGGCUUCAUUUUGGUGUUUUUUUUUAAAUACGACUAUGAUGCUCAAGAAGCUUUGCUAUACUUGUAGGUAGUGCAAAUUUGACACUUUCCCUGGUUGAUUUAUACGGUCCUUGGGAUGAAGUGAACAAUCUAGUUUUAUUUUAGUGUAGUUCAAUGUUGGGAUAAACUGAUGUAUAUAUUUCAUGUUCCUGUGGUAACUGGUAAAUCUAAUUCUGCAAGUGGGCUGCUCAAUUAUCUGUUCAUACUUUUUUACUUUUACAGCAGGACUUCUUUUUCCAAUCAAUAUUGUCUGAAGGAUGAAAUUUUGACAGACUCCAUGAUGCUGCUACUUCUGAUAAAUAAUUCAGCAUAACCAUAUACAAGGUCUGGGUGAGAACGCAUUAAGUAAUAUUGAUACUGCCAGUAUCACUGAGCUGAAGAGUCAAUGUGUUAGGAAAUGUGCCUCAAAAUGGGACAAGCCCUUUAAGGUGUAUAGUCGUAGGCCCAAGACCAAGUUAAUGAGCUGAUGCUUUGUUAUUAUCAUUUACUUAGUUAUUCUAGAAGGGGGUAGAAUGGGCAUUGCUGAGUUGGUUAGAGAAUAGUGGAGAGGGAGAAUUCUGUUAUAAGGGUGGGGAUUGUAACCAUUGAGGAUCAUCCUCGAGAUCACUAGUGAAAAUGGGAGUGCAGAGAUAUUUCUCUCACUAGGGAGGGCUAUAGCUCUCUGGAAACCUCUUCUCUUCUUCCUUUUACUGUUAUUUCCCUUUUUCUGCUGGCACCCUUGAUACAAUACGUAUCACAUUGUGAAUUCACUAGUUAUUGAAAGUAGUCAUUGACUUCAACAGUAGACAAGAGAGCUACCUAGUAAUGGACCUAAUGGUGCUUCAAUUUAAGAACUUGAAUUCUCUUGCUGGCCCAAAUAUGUAAUAAUUAGAUUUGAAUUACUGCUACAGCUGACAAGAUGAGGGAUGAAUUGAUUUGUUUCUGCUUAGUGUUUAGUCCAUGCAAAAAUGUCACCUACCUGUAAAGUUUGUAUAACUUUUAGUGCAGAUAUAGGUUUUCUGUCUAACACCUUCAGUUGUCAGGCCAAAAUUAUGUAUUGUCUGUUUGUCUACUUCAGCUUGAUGGUCCCAAGGACCUUGUAUAUGUGACAGGGUAUUGUAUGGUCCUCUAGUGUUCUGAAACUUCUAAUAAAUGUUUAAGUUUGAUGAGCUUAGAUUUUGUGAUCAAUUUUUUGGGAAAGAGGAAAAAUUUACUCAUUGAAUUUCCAUUGCUUUAGGAUUACUAGGGCUUGGUAACUUGCUUGAAACUAGAGUUUCUUUUAAUAUGAAUGUUGGUUGGUAAAGGUCUAUUGAGGAACAUAUAUCUCUGAUUUAUUUGAUUCUAUCCAUCAUUCUCUGUAGGAUUAUUUUUUUAAUCAAUGGUCAUCUGAGUUUUUUCAGUCUAUCUUGUUUCUUUAUCUUUCCUAUCUUAAUAAGAUUUUGAUAUCAUAAUCUUGAUUUCAAAUCCUUAUUUUAUUAAUUAGGAUAAUUGUUAGAUAUGAUCCUACUAAUUAAGGGUCUCUGUAUUUUUAUUUUAUCAAUUAGGAUAGUUGUUAGUUAUGAUCCUAUUAAUUAAGGAUAUCUUUGUAGGAAAGACCUGAUUAGAAUAUUAAUGAAAAUAUUUUUUCUGAAAGCUUGUAUGUGUUAGUUUAGGAGGGGCUCUGUCAAGGAAGAGUCUAUUUCUUGCUUUCACCAUAGGUGGCAAGAAGGGUUAUUAUGUGUCUAGGCCUGUGACUCAAUCCUACAUGAAGGUUCAUAACAAUGACCUAUUAUCAUUUUGUUUGGUGCUGGUGUAGACUAGUCUCCAAAAAAUAAAAAUAAAAACUCUACAAAGAGGCCACGUAACUGAAGGCAGCUAAUUUUCAUAGCCUGAACAAGAUUUGGUUUUAAUUGAACUAUUUGAGUCUCAUUCUUAAGUAGAUGAUAUGUGGUUCCAAUGAUAAGCAAGACUACCUGUAACUUUAUCAGUAAAUCUGGAGGUAUUUCAUACACUAGCUUUUAUUCUACUUCAGUCUAAUUGCUGAUUUUAUUCCUGACUAAUUUGUAUUUCAUGUUUUCCACUAUUCUCUAGCCACAGACUAACCGUGUCAAAUAGAGUACAUUGAUUGGGUGAAUGGAAACUUUGAACUUGCAGACUCUCUGGAGGUAUUUCAUAUGCCAUCCUUUUCUCUCUACUAGAUUAGAUAACCCCAGCAUUAAAUCUUCCUAAAGAUCUCCCAUGUUUUGGUACAAACAACAAACAAAUUAUGUUGAACUAUAAAAAAGAUUGCAGGGAUUGUGAAAGAUUAUUCCAAGGCAUCCUCCAUUUCCAUGAGGUGAGUGAAUCGAAAUUGUGCUUGAAACACAGGAAAGCCACAUCCUUGAGGUGCACUUUCAGAAUUUGAUUAGUAGAGUGCUUUGCUGGAAUGCCAUCUGGAUACCAGUAGCAUUUAUGUUGAAGAAGGGUGCCAAUGUUUGCGGCCAGAGCUAAAUGUUGUUCAAAUGCAAUUUAUAUUCUGAAAUGCAUAUUGAAAUGUAUGGUUAAAGAUCUUGGCUGUGUAUGCUGAAGAUACCUUUUAAUUUAAGAUUUCAUUGUCUCAAUUACAGGGUUGAGAUGUGUCACAAUUACAGGGGUUUAUGCAAAUUGGUUUUGUUAGACAAUCUUUGA